AACGCUCGUAGUCGGAUUUCGGGGCGGGCUGCUUGGUCUGCCGAUGGGUAUGCACUGGGUGGCGCGUCCUUCCUUCCGGAGACCGCGCCUACUCUUAACUGAGCGGGCGCGGGAGACGGAACGUUUACUUUGAAAAAAUCAGAGUGUUUCAAGCAGGCAUCUCGCUCUUGCAUGGAUUAGCAUGGGAUAAUGAAAUAGGACUUUGGUGCUAUUUUGUUGGUUUCGAACACCGAAGUAAUGAUUAACAGGGACAGUCAGGGGCACUCGUAUUCCGUCGAGAGAGGUGAAAUUCUCAGACCAACGGAAGACGAACCACUGCGAAAGCAUUUGCCAGGGAUGUUUUCACUGAUCAAGAACGAAAGUUAGGGGAUCGAAGACGAUCAGAUACCGUCGUAGCCUUAACCAUAAACCAUGCCGACUAGGGAUUCGAGGGUGUUCCAUCUGUGACCCCUUGAGCACCUUUCGGGAAACUAAAGUCUUUGGGUUCCGGGGGGAGUAUGGUCGCAAGGCUGAAACUUAAAGGAAUUGACGGAAGGGCACCACCAGGAGUGGAGCCUGCGGCUUAAUUUGACUCAACACGGGGAAACUUACCAGGUCCAGACAUUGUGAGGAUUGACAGAUUGAGAGCUCUUUCUUGAUUCAAUGGGUGGUGGUGCAUGGCCGUUCUUAGUUGGUGGAGUGAUUUGUCUGGUUAAUUCCGUUAACGAACGAGACCGCAGCCUGCUAAAUAGUUACGCGAACCUUCCGUUCGUGGCCAACUUCUUAGAGGGACAACUUGUCUUCAACAAGUGGAAGUUUGCGGCAAUAACAGGUCUGUGAUG
RNAcentral lists this ribosomal RNA (821 nucleotides) under uncultured marine haptophyte. RNAcentral describes it as "SSU rRNA". It matches the Rfam family "Eukaryotic small subunit ribosomal RNA", at positions 623 to 1469 of the family's 1831-position model. Lineage: Eukaryota; Haptophyta. The record is from RNAcentral.